RNAcentral lists this transfer RNA (76 nucleotides) under Albula goreensis. Its description in RNAcentral is "tRNA-OTHER". Lineage: Eukaryota; Metazoa; Chordata; Actinopteri; Albuliformes; Albulidae. The record is from RNAcentral.
GUAGCCUAUAGCCUAGUGGCUAAGGUACAUGACUGGGACCCCUGAGGUUGGCGGUUCAAGUCCCAGUCCAGCCACA